This is a long non-coding RNA of Bolinopsis microptera, 229 nucleotides long. RefSeq lists it as uncharacterized. The record is from RefSeq and is a predicted model, not a curated record. The transcript has 3 exons. NCBI's taxonomy places the organism in Eukaryota, Metazoa, Ctenophora, Tentaculata, Lobata, Bolinopsidae.
GGUUGUGUCAGUGCAACGUGCUUGUAAACAGAGUCCAGUAAGCCGGUUCCGCCCGGGUGCUUUAACCUUUCCAGUCAUAAGUAUUCCAGUUGCAGUGGAUCCGAUCCGUCACAUCGAAUAGAUUCCCCCGUACAUUAAAGAACAGUGACUAUUAAGUUUCCGGGUAGAAGUAAGCUAACGACGAUAAGAUUCCCGAUCUCCUUCUCACUUGAAGGACCAUUAUACGGAU